RNAcentral lists this long non-coding RNA (935 nucleotides) under Linum usitatissimum (flax). Its description in RNAcentral is "long non-coding RNA (LUSI_LNC002507)". Lineage: Eukaryota; Viridiplantae; Streptophyta; Magnoliopsida; Malpighiales; Linaceae. The record is from RNAcentral.
UGGGAGAUGCUCAGGAUGACCGAUUCAUUGUGGAUGGAUAAUCAAUCCCCUUGUCAGGUUAGUGGGGAGGCCUAAAUAAAUUUGGGUGUCAUAACUGUAAAACGGUUAAGAAGGGAGUAAUUGAUACUUGUGAAAUUUCAUGUUCUUUGUUAUUUAUGUACUGUUUGAUUGAACAUCUACAGCUGCUGCAACUUCUGCGAAGCCGAAACCGAAGCAUGACAAGAAGGGUAGACAGUUGAAUGCAGAGGAAAAAACUUCCCAGCUUUAAAUGAUCUCAUUGACAACUCAAAAAGGGAGAAUAUCCACAUACAAGUCCUGUCCAGUUCAAUGUAAGUAAUUCUUGCUCCGAUCAUCACCAGCUCCAAAUCAGAAGGCCUGUCCAGGGAGAAGAAAAGUAGUUGGUGAGAAUGAUGAGAACAAGAGACCAGCAACUAUUACUGGGCAGUGGGCAGCUCAACAGGUGGAUGAUUAAGCUGUUGAAGCAUUGAACCGAGAUAUGGUCUGGUUAGUGAGUAUGGAGUUAAGUUGCUUAUAAUUUGGGGAAUACACUUUUGAAGGAAGAAGUUGGCAAAGAUGAAGAAGAACAUUAUGGGAUAGAGGAGAUUCAGAGUCCUUACUGAUCCUUAUUGAUAUGUUCGACGAAGAUGGGAGUUUUUUUGGUACGAACCGUACAUAAUCGUAGGUCAUUAGAUGUUGUAAUUCACGUUAGGGUUUCUGCUUCAAAUAGGUGAAUUAGGAAUAUGCCUAUUAUAUUGUGAGAAGGCAGAAAUGGGAAGUGAGAAAUGACAAACGUGAAAGCUUUCUUGGAAUUUUCUGUAUUUCUUAACUGUAAACAAGAACUAGUUUUCCUGUCAACCAAAGAAGAAUCAAAAUGCUAGUAGUACAUCAAACGAACCAUUGCCCAGAAAACGACACUGCUACGCUAUGUAACCAGU